GACGGAGGGUGCUAGCGUUGUUCGGAAUCACUGGGCGUAAAGGGCGCGUAGGCGGCCGCCCGCGUCGGACGUGAAAGCCCGGGGCUCAACCCCGGAACGGCGUCCGAUACGGGGCGGCUCGAGGCCGGGAGAGGGGGGUGGAAUACCCAGUGUAGAGGUGAAAUUCGUAGAUAUUGGGUGGAACAUCUGCGGCGAAGGCGGCUUCCUGGCUCAUUACUGACGUUCAGGUACGAAAGCGUGGGUAGCAAACAGG
This 253-nucleotide ribosomal RNA is filed under the name uncultured bacterium. RNAcentral describes it as "partial 16S ribosomal RNA". It matches the Rfam family "Bacterial small subunit ribosomal RNA", at positions 524 to 776 of the family's 1533-position model. The record is from RNAcentral.